This 497-nucleotide ribosomal RNA is filed under the name uncultured bacterium. RNAcentral's name for it is "partial 16S ribosomal RNA". It matches the Rfam family "Bacterial small subunit ribosomal RNA", at positions 28 to 507 of the family's 1533-position model. The record is from RNAcentral.
GAUGAACGCUGGCGGCGUGCCUAAUACAUGCAAGUCGAGCGAACGGACGAGAAGCUUGCUUCUCUGAUGUUAGCGGCGGACGGGUGAGUAACACGUGGAUAACCUACCUAUAAGACUGGGAUAACUUCGGGAAACCGGAGCUAAUACCGGAUAAUAUUUUGAACCGCAUGGUUCAAAAGUGAAAGACGGUCUUGCAGUCACUUAUAGAUGGAUCCGCGCUGCAUUAGCUAGUUGGUAAGGUAACGGCUUACCAAGGCAACGAUGCAUAGCCGACCUGAGAGGGUGAUCGGCCACACUGGAACUGAGACACGGUCCAGACUCCUACGGGAGGCAGCAGUAGGGAAUCUUCCGCAAUGGGCGAAAGCCUGACGGAGCAACGCCGCGUGAGUGAUGAAGGUCUUCGGAUCGUAAAACUCUGUUAUUAGGGAAGAACAUAUGUGUAAGUAACUGUGCACAUCUUGACGGUACCUAAUCAGAAAGCCACGGCUAACUACGUG